This 449-nucleotide ribosomal RNA is filed under the name uncultured bacterium. RNAcentral's name for it is "partial 16S ribosomal RNA". It matches the Rfam family "Bacterial small subunit ribosomal RNA", at positions 29 to 523 of the family's 1533-position model. The record is from RNAcentral.
AACGAACGCUGGCGGCAUGCCUAACACAUGCAAGUCGAACGAGAUCUUCGGGUCUAGUGGCGCACGGGUGCGUAACGCGUGGGAAUCUGCCCUUUGGUUCGGAAUAACAGUUGGAAACGACUGCUAAUACCGGAUGAUGACGAAAGUCCAAAGAUUUAUCGCCAGAGGAUGAGCCCGCGUAGGAUUAGCUAGUUGGUGUGGUAAAGGCGCACCAAGGCGACGAUCCUUAGCUGGUCUGAGAGGAUGAUCAGCCACACUGGGACUGAGGCACGGCCCAGACUCCUACGGGAGGCAGCAGUGGGAAAUAUUGGACAAUGGGCGAAAGCCUGAUCCAGCAAUGCCGCGUGAGUGAUGAAGGCCUUAGGGUUGUAAAGCUCUUUUACCCGGGAUGAUAAUGACAGUACCGGGAGAAUAAGCUCCGGCUAACUCCGUGCCAGCAGCCGCCGUAA